This 236-nucleotide unclassified non-coding RNA is filed under the name uncultured fungus. RNAcentral's name for it is "sequence contains ITS2". The record is from RNAcentral. Lineage: Eukaryota; Fungi.
AACGCACAUUGCGCCUAAGAGUAUUCUUUUAGGCAUGCUUGUUCGAGCGUCGUUUAAAAUCUAAGGCUUUGCCUUGCGUUGAUGGCUUGGGAGUUUCUCUCAACUGUCCAAAUAUGUUGGCAAUUGAAAUGACCGAUGCGCAGCGAAAUGCGAUUUGAAAGUCAUGGAAUGUUCGCCAAUCCAACCAUUUUUUUUUGUUCGACCUCGGAUCAAGUAAGAUUACCCGCUGAACUUAA